AUGAAGGCCUUAGGGUCGUAAAGCUCUUUCGCCUGUGAUGAUAAUGACAGUAGCAGGUAAAGAAACCCCGGCUAACUCCGUGCCAGCAGCCGCGGUAAUACGGAGGGGGUUAGCGUUGUUCGGAAUUACUGGGCGUAAAGCGCACGUAGGCGGAUCAGAAAGUUGGGGGUGAAAUCCCGGGGCUCAACCCCGGAACUGCCUCCAAAACUUCUGGUCUGGAGUUCGAGAGAGGUGAGUGGAAUUCCGAGUGUAGAGGUGAAAUUCGUAGAUAUUCGGAGGAACACCAGUGGCGAAGGCGGCUCACUGGCUCGAUACUGACGCUGAGGUGCGAAAGUGUGGGGAGCAAACAGGAUUAGAUACCCUGGUAGUCCACACCGUAAACGAUGAAUGCCAGUCGUCGGCAAGCAUGCUUGUCGGUGACACACCUAACGGAUUAAGCAUUCCGCCUGGGGAGUACGGUCGCAAGAUUAAAACUCAAAG
This 480-nucleotide ribosomal RNA is filed under the name Roseovarius tolerans. Its description in RNAcentral is "bacterial SSU rRNA". It matches the Rfam family "Bacterial small subunit ribosomal RNA", at positions 408 to 906 of the family's 1533-position model. Lineage: Bacteria; Pseudomonadati; Pseudomonadota; Alphaproteobacteria; Rhodobacterales; Roseobacteraceae. The record is from RNAcentral.